This 20-nucleotide ribosomal RNA is filed under the name Retama monosperma. Its description in RNAcentral is "partial 18S ribosomal RNA". The record is from RNAcentral. Lineage: Eukaryota; Viridiplantae; Streptophyta; Magnoliopsida; Fabales; Fabaceae.
AUGCUACCUCGUUGAUCCUG